Molecule: ribosomal RNA, 433 nt
Filed under: uncultured bacterium
Lineage: Bacteria
Description: partial 16S ribosomal RNA
Rfam family: Bacterial small subunit ribosomal RNA
Source: RNAcentral
AACGAACGCUGGCGGCAUGCCUAACACAUGCAAGUCGAACGAGACCUUCGGGUCUAGUGGCGCACGGGUGCGUAACGCGUGGGAACCUGCCCUUAGGUUCGGAAUAACUCCCCGAAAGGUAUGCUAAUACCGGUUAAUGUCUUCGGACCAAAGAUUUAUCGCUUUUGGAUGGGCCCGCGUUGGAUUCGCUAGUUGGUAGGGUAAAAGCCUGCCAAGGCGACGAUCCAUAGCUGGUCUGAGAGGAUGAUCAUGCACACUGGGACUGAGACACGGACCAGACUGCUACGGGAGGCAGCAGUAGGGAAUAUUGGACGAUGGGCGAAAGCCUGGUACAGCAAUGCCGCGUGAGUGAGGAAGGCCUUAGGGUUGUAAAGCUCUUUUACCCGGGAUGAUAAUGACAGUACCGGGAGAAGAAGCUCCGGCUAACUCCGUG